AGUGCCCCAGGGCGCAACAGAGAUCGUUAGAAGUGAUGUGGAGGCCCCAUAAGUCAUUACGUGCCAGUGGUUUGACAGAUCGGCCGUCAACUUCCGUAUAGACUGGACGUGUAUACCUGUACGCAUGCCACGUGUCCUGGGACGGCAGAUAUAGGACCGGUCCGUUACGAUUUUGGAAGAGUCCUGGGAAAACAACAGAUCGAACGGAAAGUCCCAGAGAUAAGACAGCCUAGAACAGACGAUACGACUUUGGGAAGUAAAGCUAUCGGAAUUAUAUCUUCUGUAGUGUAACGGUAAUAACUUUCAAAAAAAAAUAUGGCUAAAUCAAUAUUGUGUAAGAAAAUGAUUCUUUGUGUGGUAGGGACUAUGGCUUUAGUUGCCAUGGUUACUGCUAGUGACAUGAACGUUAAGGGUGACGUACCGGAUGUGCACGUGCUUGUGACGAGAGAUUCAGAUAAAUGCACGAGAAAAGCAGCCAAGCACGACAUUCUAGUACUCCAUUAUGAAGGAUUCUUCCCUAACGGUACCAAGUUCGAUUCCAGUAUCGAGCGACCUGGGGCCAAUCCUUUCCAGUUCCAACUCGGAAUAGGUCAGGUUAUUCAGGGCUGGGAAAGAGGACUACUGGACAUGUGUAUGGGAGAAAAGCGUAAGCUUACAGUCCCCGCCUCACUAGCGUACGGAGAGCAGGGUUCAGGUGAGCUGAUUCCGCCAAACACCGAUCUGAUAUUUGACAUUGACCUCAUCCAAGUGCAUGAUGGACCUCAACCACCAAAUGUCUUCAAGAUGAUCGACAUUGACAGCGACAACCUACUGACGAGAGAUGAGCUGGCCAUGUACCUUGCUCGUCAGUCUCAGAUGCAGGGAGUGCCGAUGGACCUGGCCAAUGUUCAAAACCUUAAAGUCCUCAACAACAUCUUCACAGUGGAAGAUAAAGACAAGGAUGGCCGAAUUUCCCACGAAGAAUUUACCGGUCCAAAGCAUGAAGAACUCUGAUAGUCUGUGCUUUACCGAAAGUUAAGACAUUCAACUUGAGCAGAAUGCUAGAGUAAAAUGUUUUAUAACAUUAUCAAGUGCAGACGCUUUUAGAAUGGAGUUGAGAGUAAAGAGUUGUGUGCAGUAAUAGACAAGUUAUGUGAGGAAUGUCUGAGGAAUGUAUGAAGGAUGUGUAUGGAAUUGGUCCGAGAUGUAAGGUCAUUCCAUGUUAAUGUAAGAAGGGAGAAAGAUUUUUUACGUCGGUGUAAGAUCUCCUAGUUGCUUGAUUUGUGUGGGUUUAUGCAGAGAAAAAUCACAUAACUGUUCAACAUCAGUACAACCUGGCGUCAACCGGGCUCCAUGGCUUCACCAGUGUCUACGUUACGAGAGGAUCGAUGGCUUCAAGGUGGCGGCCACGAUUGUAGGAAACAGAAAAAUAAAAGACAAGGAGUUGAUAGUGAUAUUCAUCUAUUUAUUGCAUAAUACAUGACGAUGUCAACACAGGAGAUGAGAAUGUAACGAGAUGUACAUAAGACGAAAGGUGAGAGGUCAUCCUGUGAGAUGUAUGAGACGAAAGGUGAGAGGUCAUCCUGUGAGAUGUAUGAGACGAAAGGUCAUAGGUGCAGAAUGAGCAUAAGUGUGUGAUUGUAAUCAUGCUUAACAGAGACACAUAAUACAAAGCAUUAAAAUAUAAACUAAAACACCCUUGAUUGUUGUUUUUUGCCGCUAAUAUAUAGUGUACAACACUCGGUAUGGUUUACCUGGCCACUAUAGCGUACAACACUGUGGGGCUCAAGUUUCGUGGUUUCCUGGAAAAACACCAUUUUGUUGGUACAUGAAUUCAUGGAUUACAAGUACCAACUCAUACAGAGAAUAGCUUUAUGUUAAUCUUGUAAUUACUUUGUGGACCUUUGAAUUUUUUGAUAACGAGUACCCACUCAUACGGAUAAAAGCUUUAUAUCUAACUUGUAAUUACUUUGUGGACCUAUGAAU
RNAcentral lists this unclassified non-coding RNA (1965 nucleotides) under Mizuhopecten yessoensis (Yesso scallop). Its description in RNAcentral is "fK506-binding protein 2-like, transcript variant X1". The record is from RNAcentral. Lineage: Eukaryota; Metazoa; Mollusca; Bivalvia; Pectinida; Pectinidae.